UGGGAAAGAAUUUCCCUUUUUACUUUCUGAGCCCUGAAACUGAUUUUAUUUUUCCUAACUGAGAGAUUGCUUCUGUAAGUACACAAUAACAUGAUGUUGAAACAGAAACUAUGAGACUUAAGGAGAACUGGUUGACUUAAAACAUAUACCAGUUCCUUCUUCCAUUGUUAAAAGUAGGCUAACAGAUCAUUAGCUGGAGAGGAAAUCAGAUGAUUAUUGACCUUCUUGAGACAAGAGGGUACAUGAGAAACUAAUUACUAAACAGCUUGACAAAUGGCCUGAGUAGAUACUUACUGCUGUACACAGGAUGUUGUAUAAUAUUUUGUAAAGCCUGUUGUUUUUGGAAGUAUUUAUGGUAAGCUUUCUUAAAAAUUAUUAUGGUAAAUACUUCUGAAAUCCGGCAUACUUUUCUUUAAGCUUUGUCAUUUCUGUUAUGAUUUUUCAUGGUGAAAUUUUGGUACUGAGAUGGGCAUUCUCUGUACCUUUAUAGUACCACUCCAAAGGCAAGGAACCAUGAUUGACAACAGUCAAGCUGUGGAUGAAAUGACCAGGAACGGAGAAUGAAGUAUGUAAAUCCCAGCUUCAUAGGAACUCUUCUCAUACUGCUUUUCAGAUUAAAAUUGCUGUUUACCUGG
This 635-nucleotide long non-coding RNA is filed under the name Homo sapiens (human). RNAcentral's name for it is "LHRI_LNC2032.1". The record is from RNAcentral. Lineage: Eukaryota; Metazoa; Chordata; Mammalia; Primates; Hominidae.